AUGACCACUGACUGCUUAUCCCAGCUUGAGAGGAGCACAGCCCACAGAGUCUAUUUCUAUAUUUCUAUACCUGUGAGAGAUGAACCACCCCUGUGAUGCCUUGCCUGCCUGUCCCACACUCUUUACCUCCCAUUCCUCCUUCCUUGCCUCUCUUGGUGGAGACACGGCAUUCUCCCACCCCUGGCCCUGGCUCCUCUGGCACUCAGCCACCAUCCUGCAGCAGGUCUGACUGGAUCUUGUGUCUGCCAGAGACUGCUCUUCAGCAGCUGGGCCCUGGAGGUAAGAGCAGUGACUGAGAAAGGCUUCUCCCAAGUAAAACAUGACUUAUUCAUAGGAACAGAGCACUUGGGGAGAAAAAUGUUAAUGUGAGAUGAGCCAAUGCCUCCCCCGAAAGAUCUACAGGCCUAACACUUCCUUGGACCCUACUUUCUGGAUGGAAAUACCUCUGAAAGACUUCACUUUUCUUAGCCUCAGAGCAGAGAUCUUCUUUGUAACAAGGCAAAGCCUCUGUUUUGUGUGUUUGCGAGCUCCGUUUGCCAAGCUCGUCUGGUGAAGAAACUAAUGGACACUGGAAACAUUCCUGUGCCUGCCCUGCUUCAUGUACUGCAUGCUGCACAGCAGCACAAGAGGAGUCCCUGUUUCUAAAAUUGAACUCUCUUUCUUAACAACCUCAUUUACCAGGACACUGAGCAGGCAAAUCAGAUGCACACGACUUGUCUGGCUGUGCUGCGUCCAAGCUCUGCCUUCCUGCAACAUUGGCUCUCCCCUUGAAGUUCACUGCAGGAUGGCAGAGGGAGCCCCCAGUGUGCAAGUCAAGCUUGAGCCAGAGUUCUGCUGGGGCUGCAAGAUGGAGGGGAAACACAGCAGCUGGGGCUUCCUUCCACUCUCCUGGGGCAGCAGAAAUAACCUUCUGUGAACGAAGCACAGGAAAAGAAAGAAAAAAAAAGCACAUAAGCAUCCAUGACAAUUUGCAAAUAGAGGAAUCUGAACUCUCAUGGGGGAUGGAAUUCAGUGAAGGCAGCUGUAGGUAAGGGCUCAGACCAGUUCUCAUCAUCUGCUUGUCCUUUACCAGCUCCCUUUGGCAGCCUCACAGCUUUUCUCCCCACCCACCAUUGGUGGGUUCCUGUUUCUUUCAAGCCUCUUGGUUGUGGGUGACACCGGAUGCAUGUGCCUAAGGAGAGAAGGACAGCAAACAAUUUAGGGUGGUGGAGGCCUCUAGAGACAAUUUAACUACAAAUAAAUUCUUCAGUUAUCUUAAUGCCAGAAGGCAUCUCAGUAAAAGUGGUUUCAUGUUCAAGAAAGAUGCCUGCUUACUUCCAGGUUAAUAUUUUUUUUUAUUAACAAAGCAGUUUGCUGACAGUAUAAACUAUUGUCUAGAGCAGUGCUGCUCGAACAACUACAGCUGCUGAAUGAGCCAUGUAACAGUUCAAAAGGGUGUAACUCAAAAGGAGUUAAUCCACAAUAUUUUUGUAUUAAACUGUCAACAGUUCAAGCCAGUAAGUAUUUCUUUUGGUAAGUGGGUGUUGUGCAGGGCUUGCAGGAUUUUCAGAAACAGACAAAUCAAAAAGCAAGCCAUUCUUGGAAAACCAAAAUAAUAUAAAAUUGUGAAAUGGACAACACCAGCCCUCAGCUUAACCCCAUAGGAUGGUGCCCAUUUGGUGAGGCACUGCCUGUGCUGGGGUCACGCUCAGCUCCUGGCUCUUCCCAUCUCAAGGAGCUACCCCAGUUUUCCUGCUCCCUGACAAAGUCACAUUGGAAAACAUUGCUUCUGGGAUCCAGGUCAAAGUUUAUAGCAAUAUUUUUUCAAGUAUUAUUUUUGAGACCAUGACAGUACUAAAAAUCAGCUGAUUUCUAGCUGUUCUUUAGUACAGGUAAGUAGUGACAAAUUUGAGUUAGCACAAGCACACCUCACUACAGCUUGUCCACUGUGUUUGAGGUGCAGGUCUUGCUUGGUGGUGAUGGAAAAGCUAUGGGAACAUUAGCAUUCACCCCCAUGGCAGCUGGCAUUAAUGCCAACCUGGUGUGUUCCUUCUCUCCAUACCACAAGGACACUCGCAGCUAUGUUGGGCUUCGCCCUCCCCAUCUCCUGUCACCCACACACAUUUAGAUCAGCACUGAGUCUGUUUCAGGCUGCUUGUCACAACCCUCUGACAAAGCAAAGAGAGGCACAUGGAUAAAGGGUAAAGAGAGAAGUAGCAAGAAGGGAAGAGAUGGAAGGAAUACAUAUGUGGAGUGGAAAAGGUUUGAAUAGAUCAUUGGCUAUAGUUUUCAGCUGUGUUUGAGGAAGCCUUCAGCAGAAAGCAUUCUACAGGACUCCAAACAGAUGACAGAAGUUGCAAAGGUCACUUUAAGUGAGCUGAUUUCAAAUCUAGAUCAGAUUAGGACAACUGGAGGUCUGAUCACUACAUGGUUAUGCAAGAGUCACAUGUGAAAUCAUCAAUUGGUUCUUACAGUGUAGCUGGAGUGAAACCUUCUGCCCAGCCCUUCCUCUGGAGAGUUAAAGCAGAAAUAACUGAAAGAAAACACAUUUUGAGAUUAAUUUUUCAGACCAUCCCAUAAACCAGGUUGUUUCUUUUGGACGUUUGAGAAAGAAUAGCUGCAUACAUUCUUCAAAGUAGUGUUAUGUUGGUUUGGAGCAGAGCUACCUAUUGAACAGCUGUCACAUCAUUACUCAGGGGCAUAUGCCAACAAGUUUGAAAUCCAAACUUGCAGACAUUAACAGCAACAUGGAGAAUUUAGAUAAAAUGUGCAUUUCAAGCUCUAAGCAGGCAAGCCUGCACUGACAUUGCUCCAUAUAAGCAAGAUUGCUGUUGCUACGGUUUCCAAAUGGCCUCAUUGUGAGCAAUCAAUAAAGGCACUGAAUGAAAUUGUUAAAUUAAAACUGCAGCUCCUGUUGCUGAAGGCAAGGACUCUGCAUGAUCAGUCACAACUAUAGGUUAGUUUGUUUAAGUCUUUGUAUUCAGAGGAUUUGAUCACAGCAUAGAGGAAAUUGCAGUGAUGCACAGCCUGACAUCACACAGAGAUGGUCUCUUUUACUUUUUGCACAAAUGAUGGUUUGACUUUUGUGCUGUUGAAAGGCAAAUAUCUUUCAAGAUGAUGACAUAUAACUAACUGCAGAAUAUUUUGUUCAAAAUUAUAAAUCGCUGCAUCACAUUUUAUUAUUUUAUUAAAGCACUAUUACUAUUAUUUCUGUUACAUAUGAACAGUAAGAAUGACAUUUCAAAAAUUUAUAUAAUACAGAAAAUUUCCAGUUUUCUAUGUUUUUAGUGAAAAUGGUAUAAACAUCAAGUACUUUCAAACUGAAUAUCAACAGAUCUGAAACAGGAUGCUCUCUAUGGAUAAAAUGUAUUUAUAUCAGCUUGAUGUGAAGAGGCAAAAAUACGCAAUUACCAUUUAACAGAUUUUGGGAUGACAGAAGAUUGUGAAAAGCUAUGUUUGUGGCUUACCUAUCUAAAAUUCUGCUGACCAUGGAAUAGAAUUACAUAGUAGAGAUUAUAUGGGACCUUUUUUUUCAAAAUACUUGAAAUCUUAAAAUAAACAACUAGCAACAGAGUCCAGAAUGCAUAAUAAACAGACUUGAAGAGCUUUUAACCCCAAUCUUAAAAAAAGGAAAAAAAAAGAAAAGUGCUUAGUUUAUAUAAGAAUAACUAAGAAUAACAGUUCAGAGCAUCUUUAAAUCCAAUAGAAUACAUUUUUUAAACCCUUAAUACCCUGAUGUAUUUAUCCCAAGCACAACCUUGGUGUGUCUGUGAGAUACUCGACCUUUCCUUUCAAACCCCUCAAAAUAAUGGAAUUGGUAGAACAGAAGAUACAGACCGCAUGAUAGAUAGAAAAUAAAUGUUCCAAAUAUUUCCAAUGAUAAUAAACAGAAGUCCUAAUUACAAUAGGUAGAGGUACCUUUAAAAGCUUAAUCUAACUAACUUUCAGUUAGAUACAAACUGUGAAUCUAUGUCAUUCUGCAAACAGAACUCAGGCUCCUAAAUUAACUAAAGACAAAGGUUUUGUAUUCCUUUGAGAUUUAGGCAUCUAAAUCUCAUGUACAUUUUAAACAUUUUUGAAAUCUGGCAUUCAUUUCCAAUCUAACCACCAAUUUUUGUGUGGUAUAAAACCACCAGAGUUUAUAUUUCUAUAUUAACCUUACUCUCCAAACUCCUUCCUUCAACAAGACUUUGCAAGUUUGCAUCAACAAUGUCUUUCAUGGGUAAAACUAGAGGCACCAACCAUAAAAUCACAGAAUCAUUUACAUCAUAAAGGACCUUUAAGAUCAUCGGGUCCAACUAUAAACCCAGUACUGCCAAAUCCACACUAAAACAUUUCCCAAGUACAACAUCUACACCUCUUCUAAAUACCUCCAGGGAUAGUGACUCUGCCACUUCCCUGGGCAGCCUGUUCCACUGCUCAACCACCCUUUGGGUGAAAAACCUUCUCCUGAUAUCCUACCUAAACCUCCCCUGACACAACUUCAGGUCAUUCCUUCAGAUACUGAAAGAACAAUGGACUAGUGCAUGAGAUUGUAUGAAUGUUCCAGUCCAUCAUCACAGGACAUGUACACAAUUAUUUUACUUUGUGUGUGAAACCUUCUCUAGAAGAACAAAGUACCUUACAAAAUGUGAACUUUGUCUUCAUAAAUAAAAGCAUCUGUUUGCUGUCUAACCAUCUGGUUUGUCUAAAGUUUAUAGUCUCCUGAGUGUUAUUCACAGGCCCACAUAUGAUCAAACCUCCACAGACAUUUUUAUUCGGUAAAAGCUUUCCCACAGCCCUUCAUUUUUUCUAUCUGUUUUUGAUCUUGUAAAAAAAUGUCACUUUAAUACGUGUGUUGUAAUACUGCAUGUGUUUGUGUUUCUGUGAACUGUGCAGAUCUCCUGGUGUGUAGAUAUUAUGGGCUAGAUUCUCUUGGGAACAGUGCAGGAACGAACUACAGAAGAGUCAUUUGGAGAUACCAGACUCUACGGCUUCUUCUCUGCCAUCCCUGAACAAAGGGCUAGGUGAUGGUGGGUAGAUUACUUCAAAAUGUAUCAACUAUUAACACGAAACAAGGCAUUGAGAAUUGGUUCAGUUCAAGAGCAACAGCUAGUAAAAGGUAACAACCACUUUGUCAAUCCCACACCAGACAGGUACUCUGCUGUGUUUGUCAAUUCCAUGGUUCCUGACAGCAUGCAGGGUCCAGAUAACAUAGCUGUGUUUGGCCCUGUGUGAAUAAAAUGUGUUAUUAUUUUCCCUUAAUUCUACUUUUACAAGCUGAACAGUCACUACAUUUCUGCUUGCUUUCUCUGUUUCAUAAACACAAGAUUUUCCAUCCGGAGCCCUUACAAAGCCUUGCCAAAAGGGUUCAUUCUCCUUUAGAGUUCAGCUGCUGAAGAAAAUGUCUCAGUUCUCUGCUAGGUCAGUAAGUACACAACAGUUCACGAGCUCUGAUACUUCUGCCUAAUCUGCUCUCUUACCACAGGCAAUGGAAAAUGUUUCACUUGAAACAACAAACAUUCAAAAUCAGAAAUAGAAAUUACCUCAGUAGAUAUUAAUAUAACUUCACAGAAGCCUAUCUCUUUCUGCUUUAAGCCAUGAUUGAUGUUUCAGCAAAGUGUGUGCAUAUUUAAGUCUUUUUCUGCAGUCAAUAGCAAUGAUGGCACCUUUUUAUCUACUAGAAGUCAGCAAUUUUCUGUAUGCG
Ficedula albicollis (Collared flycatcher) is the source of this 5665-nucleotide long non-coding RNA. The record is from Ensembl. Lineage: Eukaryota; Metazoa; Chordata; Aves; Passeriformes; Muscicapidae.